UGCCUCGCAAUUGCCUUUGUAGGCCAAGAUA
This 31-nucleotide non-coding RNA is filed under the name Homo sapiens (human). The record is from RNAcentral. Lineage: Eukaryota; Metazoa; Chordata; Mammalia; Primates; Hominidae.